GAACCAAUCAGAUAUUAGCUCUCUUGCCGGACUGACGUCAUUGUUAAAGCGAAAAGAACCGCUACUUGGCUGCCGAAACUAUACAACUGCAAGCCAGGGGGAUAGAAGACAUGGCUGAAUACCAGCGUAGUCUUGACUAAAGCCCAAGGCGGUAUAGUCCCCUGUCCACCGUUAUCGGCCAUCGUUCUCAGCAACUUAACUAAGGAUCUAAAUACCAGCACUAACCAGCUAGAAAGACACUGGGGGGGCGUUUCUCUGCCCGUCUGUGCAGAUUCGGAUGGGGAGGAUCUCCAACUGUGGGGAGUGAUCAGUGUCACAAAGCCAGUGUGGGCGUGCACUGUGGGGUAGCAACAGUAGGAUGAGCUGCCCCCGAGGUAUGACAGUCUGCGAGGACUGACACACACAGCUACAAAUACGGCAGUCGAUGCAGUCUUCCAGAGGCUCUCCCUCCCUGUGGCUGAGAAACCCCC
Molecule: long non-coding RNA, 470 nt
Organism: Monopterus albus (swamp eel)
Lineage: Eukaryota; Metazoa; Chordata; Actinopteri; Synbranchiformes; Synbranchidae
Exons: 3
Source: RefSeq, a predicted model, not a curated record